Helianthus annuus (common sunflower) is the source of this 1858-nucleotide long non-coding RNA. RefSeq lists it as uncharacterized. The record is from RefSeq and is a predicted model, not a curated record. The transcript has 3 exons. Lineage: Eukaryota; Viridiplantae; Streptophyta; Magnoliopsida; Asterales; Asteraceae.
CGGCCGUUAGCAAGUUAAAACCAAAACCCUACCUGAACUGCCGCACACCCACUCUUCCCCCUUCCCCAGUUGACCGAUCACCGGAGCUACUUCCGGCGACCAUUCCGCUUCCGGCGGGGAACAGUAAACAACGCCGUUAGAAAACGUCGUUGCCAAAAGAGAAACCACGUGUGACCCUAAUACAGUUCCACCGCAUCCCUCGACGUCCUCCCCUUCCUCCCUCUUCUCUUCGUUGAGAAACGUCGCUCUAUUCAACAUUCAACAGCGAAAUCUCCAUAGGAAUCCACGUUUGAUGCAUGUCGUCUAAAAAUUUAGGGCUCUGACAGGUAUGUUUUGGGCAACUCUUCAGUUUUGCUUCUAAAAUUAGGGCUCCGAUGUUAAUUACUUUGGGUAAAUCUUUACAAUUUGAGGUAUGGUGUAUUCUGUAUUUGCAUUUGUAUUUUUAGAUUACAUGUAUCAGUUGGAUCUCACUUGGGUUGAUUGUAGCUCCUUCAGUUAUGUUUGCUUUUCAUCUAACAUUCACCAUGGCAACGGAUAGGAGGUUAAUGGUCGAGCAUGCUCGCAGGAGUUAAGUCAAAUGAAUAUGGUGAUUACGCCAUCUGAGAUGGCGGAACUGGGCGACAUCCUGGCAUCAGGCUGAUGUGGCAAGACAGAUGGCAAUUGAGGUGGAAAGCAUGGCUGGUUCUGCUAUCUGAGAAGAUAGAUUCGAGUGACGUGGCUCAUGGCUUCACACGUAUACCUUAUUCGUUGACAUGGGAUGAACACGUUGGAUCUGAUAUCUGAGAGAGUAGAACCGAGCCGUCUGCAAAUUGAAGGUGCACAGUGCUGUGUGGACGUGGCUAGGAGAGCUUCAAUGGUUUGAGAUGGCUAGAACCCGCUUAACUUUUUUUUAAUAUAUUUGUUAUACAAAUAAGAAUAAGUUGACACUCUCUAUAUCUCUAUUUGCUAGACAUUGGCCUCAACCAUAUCUAACUACUAUAUCUGUUGAUGCAUUGAGAAUAACCUCUAUUUAUAUCAAUGUUUUAAACCUUGGAUUUGAAUUACACCGUUUUCAGCCAUAUCAAUUGUGAGGUGACUACUCAAAACUUGUACCAUGUAUAGGGUUAAUCUUGACGGUAUUUUACUGGGUACAAGAAAUGGAGCUUCAUAUUUGGAUGAACGGGUCAAACAGGAGUUCGGGUUAAAUUAAUCAUGUUUAUUUUUAUAUUUGAAUAGGUGUCAAGGUAGUGGGUAAUAUCAACGAUUGUGUUUACUAAAUUGUACGAUAGCGGCUACUAAAUUGUAGAUGUUGCGAUAAUACAUUUAGAUGCAUAUUGAAACAGGGAAAUAUCAAAGCAAAUCAAGGUUGCAACGCCUAAUAUCAAAGUAAUCCGGGCUGCAAAGUCUGGUAAUGGUCAAAAAGGUUUCCUCGACCUGAGAUUGCGUAUCCAAUGUGUCCUCCAAGUGUGACAUCAUUUGUUACUUUGAGUGUGUGCAGGUGAAUCAUACAGGCAAGGUUUAUCGGUACUAGAACAAUGCGAACUGAAUCAGCAUGAUAGGAAUUCCAAAGGAUUGGUUCUUCUUUCAAUUUUAAUGAUAUGAGAUUUGAGGUGCAUUAAUCCAAAAGAUGAGUAUCAUCCUAUCUAUCUUUAAUAUUCAAGGUAACCAGCCAACUAGCCAAGUGACAAGGACUUCCAAGUCAAGCCGAAUCCCCAUCUCAAGUAGCAGGUUCCUUUAACCAGCCACAUCUUCAGCCAAUCUCAGCGAGUCGUACAAACCCCACCCCGCAACGCGGGGGUUUAAACACUAGUUAAAUAAUAAUUCUAAACAGAAAAUUAGAUAAGAAUAUAAACGUUUGUUUUUAUUAUGAUCAUAUUAA